GAUGAACGCUGGCGGCGUGCCUAAUACAUGCAAGUCGAGCGAACAGAUGAGGAGCUUGCUCCUCUGACGUUAGCGGCGGACGGGUGAGUAACACGUGGAUAACCUACCUAUAAGACUGGGAUAACUUCGGGAAACCGGAGCUAAUACCGGAUAAUAUAUUGAACCGCAUGGUUCAAUAGUGAAAGACGGUUUUGCUGUCACUUAUAGAUGGAUCCGCGCCGCAUUAGCUAGUUGGUAAGGUAACGGCUUACCAAGGCAACGAUGCGUAGCCGACCUGAGAGGGUGAUCGGCACCACGGGAACUGAGACACGGUCCAGACUCCUACGGGAGGCAGCAGUAGGGAAUCUUCCGCAAUGGGCGAAAGCCUGACGGAGCAACGCCGCGUGAGUGAUGAAGGUCUUCGGAUCGUAAAACUCUGUUAUUAGGGAAGAACAAAUGUGUAAGUAACUAUGCACGUCUUGACGGUACCUAAUCAGAAAGCCACGGCUAACUACGUG
Molecule: ribosomal RNA, 497 nt
Filed under: uncultured bacterium
Lineage: Bacteria
Description: partial 16S ribosomal RNA
Rfam family: Bacterial small subunit ribosomal RNA
Source: RNAcentral